RNAcentral lists this ribosomal RNA (253 nucleotides) under uncultured bacterium. RNAcentral's name for it is "partial 16S ribosomal RNA". It matches the Rfam family "Bacterial small subunit ribosomal RNA", at positions 524 to 776 of the family's 1533-position model. The record is from RNAcentral.
UACGGGGGGGGUAAGCGUUGUUCGGAAUUACUGGGCGUAAAGCGCGCGCAGGCGGCUAUCCAAGUCAGUGGUGAAAGCCCGGAGCUCAACUCCGGAACUGCCAUUGAAACUGUUUAGCUUGAGGAUGAGAGAGGUGAGUGGAAUUCCCGGUGUAGAGGUGAAAUUCGUAGAUAUUGGGAAGAACACCGGUGGCGAAGGCGGCUCACUGGCUCAUUACUGACGCUCAGGCGCGAUAGCGUGGGGAUCAAACAGG